RNAcentral lists this ribosomal RNA (254 nucleotides) under uncultured bacterium. Its description in RNAcentral is "partial 16S ribosomal RNA". It matches the Rfam family "Bacterial small subunit ribosomal RNA", at positions 524 to 777 of the family's 1533-position model. The record is from RNAcentral.
UACGGGGGGAGCAAGCGUUGUUCGGAUUUACUGGGCGUAAAGGGCGCGUAGGCGGCGUGACAAGUCACUUGUGAAAUCUCCGGGCUUAACCCGGAGCGGCCAAGUGAUACUGUUGUGCUAGAGUGCGGAAGGGGCUACUGGAAUUCUCGGUGUAGCGGUGAAAUGCGUAGAUAUCAGGAGGAACACCGGUGGCGAAGGCGGGUCUCUGGGCCGUUACUGACGCUGAGGAGCGAAAGCGUGGGGAGCGAACAGGA